Molecule: long non-coding RNA, 25972 nt
Organism: Parus major (Great Tit)
Lineage: Eukaryota; Metazoa; Chordata; Aves; Passeriformes; Paridae
Exons: 2
Source: RefSeq, a predicted model, not a curated record
CCGCGGGGAAGGGGCGGUUCGCCGCCGUGCCGGUACCCUCGGGAGCUACAGGUGUCCGCAACCCGCGGGGUCCGCUCCCCGCGGGAUCUGCUCCCCACGGGGUCCGGCCGCCGGUCCCGUCCCGCCGCCUCCGCGUGGCUUCUGCGGCGACUUUGGCCAGGCACAAAUAACUACAAAUGCCCGUGCGGAGGGGUGCCGAUACGCACCGUCUGAUCAGCUCGUGUGAAAGCAUAGCCGGAAAAAUCUCCUAAAUCAUCACAGCCAUAAAUAAGUCAGUUAAAAUGUAUGGUCUGUAGAAAGAGGAAUUAUUUAAACAUUUCUACUUAGCCAGAAUUUCCAUCAACUUCUCUGCGUUUUUCUUUCAGGAUGUAUUUAGUGAUUAUAAAGCAUUUCAGCUAGGACAGCAUUCUUCGGCUCUGCAUUUUGAUUAUCAAGAGCAGAAUGAAUGUAAGAGUGGCUUUUCAAGGACAGUAAUUAUUUUAACGUAACUGACAGCAUUAGCCUACUUCAGCCACCCAAGUGUAAACUAUAAUGCUUUUAAACGUGGAUUUUAUUUAGAAGCUCUGUUUAAACUAUAAAGUGAAGAUUUAGAAUAUAUGUUGAUUUUGUCCGUGAAUUUCUACUUUUCCUCUCAUCUUUGAAAGAAGAUCUUACAAAACAUAAUAUUGAGGGUAGUAAGAUGAUGUAGACCUGAAUACUUGAUACUAUCAUUGUUAGUAAGAAGAGACCUAUUUUCAAGUAAAGUGAAAAUAAUUUCUAGUUUUUUGUACAAAUAGCAAAUUUAGAAUAAUGACAGACAUUUCUCUAUAAUGUGUCCACUUUAGUCUGAAAUACAGUGAAACAGAUAAUUAAUAACUUUACAUACUUUGAGAAGAAAUCUUAAUAGGUAUUUUGAGUGCUGGAUCUAACAACUGUUACUCUGUAUCAUUUUAUAGACACUUAGAAAAGGUACUCCUUACCUGCUUGAUAAAUAGUUCUAUAAUAUUAAUAUUAUAGCUAAAGUAUUCAUAAAAACAGUUAGUAUCUGUUAGCAAUUCUUGCUGUCCAGAAAGUGAAGGAGGAUGUAUUGCAAUUGGGCUAUAAUGUUCUCUUUUGAUUAAUCUGAAAACUACCCACUCUAGAAGCAAUGUCUCAGUUGAUUGGGCAUAUCUUACAAAGAUACUUUACUUACAAAUUGAAUCUUGGAAGGCUGUGGUUCCAGAGUCGGGGUUUUGGGGGCGAGAUGAGCUUAUGUUUUAUCCAACUGGCCCACAAAGUCCCGCUUUUGGUGGUCACUUUGUUCUGCAAAAGAAAACAGCACAUUAUGGCUCUUACAUUGGACAGUAAACUUAGUAGUAAACUACUGCUGCAGGCUAUUAUACACUUUAAAUAAAUAAUCAUGUUCUAACUUUAAUGUUGUCUUCAGCAAUAAAAUGUGGAUAGAAAAUACAAUAAUUUUGAAAGUUAAACAUAAAAGUUUUCUAACUGUUGGUGGUGUUUUUCUCUUAAAAAGCCAGCAAAAGCUGAAGAAAAAGUCACCUUUCAAAGGGUGGUACUGAAAUAUUGGUGAAUUGGGAGAAAAGAUGGUCUCAAGAAAAGAGAGGCUUUCUAAACCUUGAAAAAUCUUUUAAACGCUGGUGGCAUUUGUAUUGUCAAUCCCUGCCUCAUUUUUUUUUUUUGCUCACGAUGUUAUAAUCAGUUAUAAUCAGUUAUAAUGUAUCUCUUGAACAAGCUGCUGCUUCAUGUGUGUCUGUGUGUGUCUACCUGUGUACAGUCUGUAUCUAUGAUUCAAUUUAAAGACUGCUAAUUUUUGAACUGGUAAAAGUUGUGGAAUAUAUUAUUGGGAGUAAGGCAGUGUAAACCUAAGCUUGGUAGAGCUGUUUAAGUUCACGUUAUUUGCAUUUUGGUAUCAAUAUACUAAAGAAUUUAAGUAUUAUAUUUACUUAAAAGUUACACAGCUGUACUUUCCUCAUGUGAUUCUUGAAAUUUUUGAAAAUGCUGGUAGAAGCACUGAACUUUCUCGUGGUUCCAGAUAUACUGCACAGAUAUUUAACACUGAUGAACACAUGAUACACAAUGUAACUUAUACAAUGUUUCACAUAUACAGCAAAUUCACACAACAUACAUGCAGGAGCAUCCUCUCAUUUGGUGUAAAUGUGUCUGUCAUAGUUUUGACAUUUAAUGCCAGCUAAUAACCUGUGUAAGCUACACAUAAACAUCCAGACAUUCACACUGUGGUCACAUUGUCAUUACAGUCCAGUUAAUUUUAAGUGUUGACCUACACAGACUGAAUCAAUUUGAGUAUUUCAAAAAGGCCUGGAAAUUCAGCUGAAAUGAGACUGACACACUGUUAAAGCAAACUUGUUGGCAUGUGAUUUAUCAUAUGACUAGAUGCAGGAUCUGUACAUUUAUGCAAAUGAAUAUCAAGAUGAAUUAUCAAGAUUUUUCUAUAGAAUUCUCACAUUUUACAUUUUAUAGCAAUAUAAUUGCAACACAAGUGAAAUAGGAUGUAUCCAAGCCUCGGUGCAACAAAUUCCUCACUUGUUUAAGACUGAAAUCUGAUUUGGAGGAGCUUAGGUCAGAACUGUGGUGCUGAUAUGCUUUUUAGCUACUAUUUUCCAUGAAAUAAUACUGUUCAGAAGCAGCAUUUAUGAAAGGUUAAAUUUUAAUAAGCCAAUUAAUUUAAAAAUUUAACCAUAGAAAUUUUUUUAUUUUUGAAUUUUACUAGAGUAUAUUAGUACUUAGUUUGUUAAUACAUUCCAGACCUGUCCAAUCUUCCUAGUUGUCAGAUUUGGAUUGGUUUAAUUCCUGUGGUCUUUUCUCUAGUAUUCUGAGAAUGCAAGAGCAGAGAAUCAGACAUAAGAAAGUGAAUCAGUGUGAGGAUCUUGCUUUAAGGGAAAAGAGAAACACUUAUAUCCAAACAGCAGCGAAGAUCAGCCCUGCACUGCUGAAAUACCACAGUUGCUUCUUACCAACUGUUACUUUAAAGCUCUUAAAUUAAAACAUAAUUUUGUAGAGCUACUUCCAGUAAGAUGUGCUUUAUGUAUCACACUUUGUUAAUCAGCUACUUUUAGAUUAUUUUUUAAAAUAGAUUCUAUGUGGCUCUCUACUUAGGAUAUAUAAAAUCCACUUGCAUUGCUUUUAGCAUCAAUAACCUAGCUAUAGAAUUAAUACACUAUUUAAAUGAUUAAUGAGCAGUGUUAAAGAACACAGUUACGCUUCUGUAGGCCUUCCUCAUACAAUAUUUUUUUCCCAUCAAUAAGCUUACAGAAAGAGCUCCUGUUUGUCUCUGGUGGGCAGUAGAACAGACAAUUUGCUGCUGCUAUAGAUAGCAUGCAUAUAUUUUAAACUUUAAAUGUAUGUUCAUUUUGUAUGUGUUACUUAAAUUAAUGAUGAUUAGACAAAACAGUGAUAGAUUUCCUAAACAUCUGUGUUAUAAAAAUUUGAUCUCUUUCCCUUGCACUGGUUUUCCCACCAGGUUUGCGUGCAGCUUCGGGUGCUGGCCUCUGAGCUGAGAGUCCUGAAGUGCACUGUGUAUCCAGAGCAUUAAUAAUUAAAUACCUGGGAUCAGUCUGUCUUGCUAUUUGAUAUGAAAAGAGAAAUUUACAGAAGAUAAAAAGUAGAUGGUAUGUUUGUAAUAAAAUUAAUUUUUCUUCAGAUAAAAAUUGUCAUUAAUUAUUGAAAAAAUAAUAUUUGGAAAUAUCAACCUCAAUUAUUUAUUGCAUUUAUCAUUUAUAAAGUUGAAAGUCCUACUAGCUAUCUUUCUAUUUAGAAUAAAUUUAAAACUACAUUUUUAGAAUGACUUUUCUUCAUUUUUAAGCAAACCUUUAAAAAACCAGCUUACAUACACACUGAAUCAGCAGAGGAUUUCCAAAUGGCCUAAUCUGUUUACUUUCAAAAUUUUAUUGAAAGCAGUGAAAAGAUCAGGAUUUCCAGCAGAAUCCUGUGGCAUGGUUUGGAGAUUGGUCUGGGGCCUGCAUUUUCUGAAGCAAGGCUUCAACCUUUGACACCUCCUGACUGUGUUGCAACAGAAAAGUUUUGUGACUCCCCUCUGAUCCAGGCACAGGAGAGAGAAGUAACAAUCCCAAGUUUGGAAAAUCACAGCCUGGAACAACUAACAAUUUUGCCUCACUAAAGGCUACAGAAUCAGUUGUCCUUUCCUAGAAAGCUAUCCAGAGUUUUUUCAAGGGCAAGAACACAGACACCCAAGGUCUGAUUUUUAAACUCUGCCUUGUUCUUUGCUCCUUGUUGCAGUGUCACACACCAGCACUGCUUCCCUGUGGAAAACCUGGACCUCAUGCCACAAGGAAAGCCUAUGCAAACACAAACCGGUACAUUCAGGCAUAUUUUCUAAGGACAUCACUCAAAAGAUCAUUUUACCUGCCUUGGAAAUUGUAUUUAGAAGCCUAUGAAGCAAAAACAAAACAAAGAAGUUGUGAAUUUUUUUAAGUGUGUUUUUUUAAAUGGGUUUAAAAGAUUAGGGGGAAAACACUGCUAUCACCUGGAGCUGUGCCCAUUGUGGAAGACAUGGUAGAAAAGUGGUUCAGACCAUGUGGCUUGAGCCUAUGAAGCUUCUGGUGAAAUCAAUGAAUUUAAAACAUCAUUUGCCCACUUCACAGUGCACAUCAGUUAAUAACUACACUAAUCCCUUGCUGCAAUGCUAUAUGCUGUUCUCAGUUAAACUGUGCAAACAUGUAGGGAAUUUGUAAAGGUGUAAGCAUGGAAAAAAGGAAUAAAGAGUUAGGAGGUUUUGCCUGUUGUUAAAAUGCCCAAAUAGUUCUGGUUAUAGGGUUUGGGGGCAAGGACAAUAAUUCUGUAUCCAAGAGUGAAUGGAUAGGGCUUAUUCAGCUUGGGAUUUUUUUUCAGGACCUUUCUUACAACACCUAGAGAGUAAAUACACCAACAGAAAUAAAGCCCCACACAAUACUGAGGUAACUGGCUUUGUGAGGUAGCUGAUGGGGGACUAUGUUAUGUUCCAGAAGGUUACCCCUGAUCUCUGUCUCUCUGUUGAAUAUAAGGCUCUUUAAUGACCACGUUUUUUAAUACUGGAAUCAAAAUUCUCUACGGACAGGCUCCAGAGUUUUGGGGUUUUUUCCUGUUUGGAGCAUACCUGCUUCUGGCUGAGCUAAAAAGUAAAAAAAUUGUGUCCUGUCUGAUUUCCUAGUAUGCCAAAUACUUACAUUGUUGAUAUAUAUGAAAAACUUUUAAACAAAACUAUUUUGAUCUUUUCAGUUAAUACUGCUAAUUUUAAUUUAGCUGUUAAUGGGGGACACUACAAUUCAACAAUAUAAAAUAACAUUAGUGCAUUUUUGCUAUUUGAAGUAUCUCAGCUUCAGUCAGACAGUUCAAAUCCUUUUACUGCAAUCAUGGCCUUCCUAUACAAAUCAAUAUAGAAUAGUAUCUAGACACUAGUUUUUUAAGUAAAGCUUUUCAUUUGUAGCUUAGGACAAGGAUUAAAACACACACACCCACCAAAAAAUAUAAAAUGUGUCAUCUACAACAAGGCAUGUAUAAAGGAUUGUAGGACAAAGUGAGAAAAAUAAUUUCAGGAUGUUUCAGGACUGGCCAUAUGCAUCAGGAAAAAUAAGUGAAUGCAUUAAUUGUACUGAAAGGACAUUUCUAGUUGUUACACAUUGCUGCUGUUAAAAAUUUCUGGUUUAUGGUCAGAAAAAUCUUGAUUUUAGCUUUGAUGAUGCUGUUGUUUGUAUUAAAGCUUUCUUUUGUAAUCAAAGGCCUAUUUCAAAUUACACAAAGAACACACACACCUCUGUCAGUAGGUACUUGGAUGCUGCUGUAAGUCAGAAGUACCUCUACUGAAUUCCCUGGAUCUACAUCCAUAAAAAAUGCAAGUGAGAUCAUGUUAAAAUUUCUGGAACCUGAGAAAAUAAUUUAGUUAAUUUUUCAUAUUUUAACAUGAACAAAGGGCAAAUGUAUUGCACAAGAAAUACUAUUAAAUUACAUGAGAAAUUGAAGAUUACUUUUUUCCAACAAUACUAUGGUAUUUUAUGCUUUGUGUUACAAGAAUCUGUGAAGAAUAUGCCUGUUAGGUGCUAUUCAGUGUGGAUUAUUUUAAAAUAGUUACUUUUUAUUAGGCAUGCCAAUUGAAUGGGCAUAACUUAAAGUUCAAAUAUGCUACCUGUUUUACUAAGGAUAUUUAUAAAUAUGGAUAAUUUGGCUUAUUAAAUUUGGAUUCCACUUUGUAUUUCUAUUCUGACUGUCCUUCUAUAUAUAUGGAAAUACUGUAUGAAUAUACUGUAUAUAUGGAAAAUUGCCCAGACAGUUCACUGGAAAAUAUUUUAAAAUUCUUUAAAAUGAAAGAUGUUCUAUAAUUCUAUUAUGUAUAAUUUUCUUCUAUAAACUAAUGUUCAUUCUGCCACUGAAGUAUCCUUAAAAAUGAGAAAUGCAGGUCAACAGUUAAUGAUGAUUAUCCUGGGGUUUUGUUUUGUUUUUCUGUUGGAGAUCUGAAAGAAGAAAAAUUAUGUUGAGUUGGCUGGGCUUCAUGUAAAAUGUUUUUCACUUCCCGACAAGAGUAUUUCUAAGGUAGCUGCCUCAAACUCCACUUUAUUGCGUGGACAGAAACAUUUUAUACAUCCAGAGCUAAUUGAAUUAGAGGAUCCUUGAAAAACUACUAUUUUCCUAUCCAGUGGAUUAACAGAAAAUGAUGAAAUCCUGAUGUAUUAUUGGAAAGUUGUUCUAACUUAAAAAUAUUUUCUUUAUAGUUUCAUUCUUGAUGUUCCACAGCAUUCACCACUUCCUGCAUGGCUUUUCACCGCAGGGAAAAUGAGGGACUUUUGGGGGCAGAUGUGUUUCCAUUACACUAUCAUAAUGCCCCUAAAAAUCCUUAUUGCUCUUGCAGUAUUCUUCCGUAUUGCUGGGCCUGGGUGAGAACUUCUUGAAGACCUAUCUUAUAAAUACAGCUUUUCUCUAAAAACAUUUUUAAAACACCACUGAGUUUUAUUUUGUUUGUCUUAUAUUAUUUUUAGUUGUGUUUACUGUUGCUUAAAAUAUAAAUGGCAAGAUACGCAACCACCUGUUGGUAAAUAAAUGUCAUAAGUCAUAAAUCCAAGGGACAUGCUGAUAACUGCAUGGGAUUAUGAAGAGGGAUCUGUUUUGGCUUAAGAAUGAGAGCUUCAUUUUUUUGGUACAACUGACUUGUUUUUCACAUAAGAAUUUAGCAUUUAUGUCUCUGAAAAUAUGACAGAUGUUUUGCAAACUAACUUGAAUGACUGAUGUAAGUGAGCCUCACUUAGAAUUUCUACUGCUUCUGGAAACACUCAUCAGGCCAUUUAUCAAAUGCAUAGAUCUGUCCAGUACGUUUAUUUAAAUUAAAUGCACCAAAAUAUUCAAAUCAUUUUUUUAUACAGUCUCACAAUAAAAUUAUGAUUAAACGUGAAGAAGACAUUGUGGGUUGUCUUCUAUUCUUAAUUCUAUGCUUACUCAACUCAAAAGCUCUUUUUGUGGCCGUACCUCUUGCUGAGGCUUCUGAGGAAGGCACAAUCCAUUGGGAAUGCAGUCAUGCUCUCUGGCUCCUCCCAUGAAUUAAGAGAUGGCCACGGUUCUCCCAGGCACGGCUUACUUCUAGGUCAGUCUUCCAGUUCUGGAAGGAGAAGGCAGAACAUACACAUGUAAACAUAGUUUGUUGUCUGGUCUUGCAGAGCAAUACAUCAUCAGUUUGAUAUGCACAGCGCUGGUAACAUUUAUUUCAGUAGCAGAGUGUGGGGCACACACAGUACUGUCACUGCUUUGUGUUAAAUGUACUCUUGACUUUACUGAAUCACUUAACAGAAAUUAUAGAUAGUGUGGCGUGGUCCCUCUGACAGUGUCUGCUAAUAUCUGUAAAUGCCCUUCAAAAUAUUUGGUGACAUAGGAAAGAAACUAACUGGGUGGAUUCACCAGACCACUUUAAUAUAAAAGUUUAAUCUCCAGGGAGAUGCUCUUCUUCAUUCUGCUGUAGGAAUGUGUCUCAUUUUUCACGCAGCAAAAUCUUACAGGUCAAGUCACGUACAGGUCACAAAGCAGGCUUGCUGAUAUGACUGAGGCUCAGAACUGCUGCUGCCCAGAGAAAUACUACAGUAACAAGAAAAUUCCUUUCUAGAAGAACAGACUGAGCAGUGUUGAACAAUUUUAUAUUCACAGGUCAAAAUAUGCUGGAAUAUGUCCUUCAACAUAAAACACUGCAAGAUGCAACAGCAUUUCAAAUUAAUGUAUAGGCAGAGAAUAGAAAACACAGUCAUUACAUUAAUUUGAAAUUUUCAUAUCAAUAUUUCAGUGAUCCUGUUUGGACUACUGAUCACAAGAUGAUCCCUAGUACCUUCUGACAUAAAUGGAAAGUAUAACACAGACUGUCUUGAGGCUUAUCCAGCCUUUAUAAUAACAGUUAUUUACAAGGUAUGAAACUAAUUGAACUAUUAAUAUAAGUCAUAGAAGUUUUUUUGCAUGCUUUUACUCUAAACAUGCCAAGGUGUAUGUUCAGCAUUCUGUUUAUUUCCAAGUGACACUCCUAGGUAAAGACUCUGCAUCUAAUUGAAAAUGUUUUUAAAAAAAGCACGUAACAGCAAAUAUUCUGUGGAGUUCUACAGUAUUAAGGACCAAUGAAGGGACCGCUGCCUGAGCUACAAAUUCUAUCACCUUUACACAGAAGACUUAUUAUGAACAGAGUGAUUUUUGUAAAAGUCUUUUGGAGGCUAUGCUAGUCACAAUCCAAUGUAAAGAAUACUGUAAUAGAUUUGAGCAUUAAAACUGAACUAAUUUUCUAUUUUUUCCUAUGUUGCCAUGUAAUCUUACACAUAAUCUUUCAAGGAUAUCCUUUUUUUUUUUUCCCUAGCAUAUGCAAUCAUUCAUAUAAUUUCUUGCAUGAAUAACUUGUUGAUUGAACAGCUGAUUAUUGCAUAUAUACCUAUUUAUAUACACAUAGGUUGUUGGAAAAGUUAGAUUCUUUCUGAAUGUGUGCCCUGUAAAUUUGUAAAAAUGUAUUAUCAUAUGACACUACUUUCAAGAGAAAUAUAUGCUUAAAGCAAGUAAUCCUGACAUUAAAUUCAAGAAUAGGAUCAAAACAAGUAACAUGAUAUUCCAGUCCCUUUUACAUUUAAUAGGAAUCACCUGGCAUAUAAUUGUCAUUUUGUUUUAUACAUUUUUAUCAUUGAAGAAUAAGCAUUAGAAAAUGAGAGUCAAGCACAUGGUUUGAGAUGUGUACUUAAACUUCUGAAUUCAAAUACUUGCUUCAAAUUGUUUAUUUAAAGUAUUUAAAUCAUUUUGGUAUGAAAUCAUAUGUCACAAAAAUCUUUGGAUCCAAUAUAGCCUCAAAGGAAGGACUGCAAAACUCAUCUGUAAAAUUGUCCACUGCAGCUAACAGCACAUUGGGAAUAAGCUGUGAGUAGGUUUCAGUACCAAACAUUUUGUAAAAGAUAAUAUUUUUCUCUGUUUGGUUUCUUAAAUAUUAGCAAAGCACAGAUUUCUAUUAGCCUCUUCUUAGGGAUUUUGAUUUCUUUAAAUUAUAGGGCCAAUAGACAUCAACAGGAACAAACAAAUUACUCUAAAACUUAGAACAGUAGCAAGUAGGUAAUUUUUCAAGUAGAAUUUCCACAGUGGAAAAGAUAUUAGGUAUUUGCUAUGUGCCAAGAAAUGAGUAAUAUGAGAAUACUUUGAUUCUUUUACAAAAUGGAAGAGCAUUAACAGCAUUUUAGUUUUUUAUUAUAUAUAAAAUUCUUUAUUACCAGCAGUCUCAUAAUAGAUAAACACAAAUAGAAGAAAGGAUGUGCAGUUAUUAAAUAGGCUGAAUAAGAGACACUCAUUUAUGUAUUGAAUAAGCCCGUUUCUAUCUCAAGUUUUGAACUCUACCUCAGCUGUAUGUACACUAUUUAAAAUGUGAUCCAGAGUACAGAACUCGGCUGAUCCAUUUUAAUAGUGUUUAUAUAUUUAUUUGCUACCUUAUUUCACUUCCACUGUGUUAGAUCCAGUUUGUUACUGAACUAAGAGAGUGUCAGUUCCACUCCAGCCCAUUCUGAGGGGUCCCUGUGCAGCUCCUGUGCUGUCACCUGUGGGAAGGUGACUCUGAGCACAGGCAGCAGCUCCAGGCUGUGGCACAAGGAGGCUGCUCAGAAAAGCUCAGAUAAAGCCACCUAAUUCCACAGUGGGCUAGACAAAAAGGUGGGAUGAUGAUUAAUUUAUUCAGUAGAUAGACUUAAUGGGUGAGAUUACCCAAUAAAUAAUUGACUGAGAAACUGGAAUUCUUAACCAAAAUUACUUUUUUGUUGACAAAUGGGGCUUGGGUUAUUUUUUUUUUAAGGAAAAGCCAUUUCAAAAUUUUCAGUACUUUUCCAAUGACAGACUGUAUUUUGUAUAUUCCUUUAAAAACAAAAUCUACAGCCUUGUUGUGACUGCUGUCUGAGGCUUUUGUAGAUCUCAGUUGUGAGAACAGUGCAAGCACCAAACAAGAUUGCAGCAGGUUAAUUUUGAUUUAGAGGAAGCAAUAAGAUAUUCCUAUAUGAAGCCAGGGAAUCUGUGCUAGUAGUUUUUGGAGUGCUGAACUAAUCCAUAACAAAAUUAUACCAUGACUGUAGUUGGCAAUAUGGAGAACUGAGUGAGCCCACAAGAUCCCCUGACUGUAGUCCGAAUCAAACAUAGACUUUGAGAUAUAAUCUGGGUUUGUACUAGAUUUAGUAUUUUGAUAAUACAUAUAAAAUCAUCUUAUCUUAUAGAUUUAUUCUAACUUGUACCAGAAUGUCACAAUUUUAUUAAGACUCUGGGUGUGUCUAAAACCAAAAAGGCAACAAAUCCCUUCUGAGAACAUAUCUGAAAUGAAGACUCUAGAGUUCUGGUUCCAGUCUGAGCAUCAGGAGGUGCAUGUUGCAGCAGGAGGUUCUGGAUUCAAGGUCUAGGCCCUGAUUUUCCCUCUGGCCAGUGACAGGGAGGUGCCAAAUACCCUGACCAGGUGAGGCCAGCGGUGCAUGUGCCUGCACUUCACCUGUCAGAGGGAGCAAUACAGCUGCCACCUGAUUCCAGAACGUGUUUUGAUCUGGAAUAGUCAGCUCUGGUCUUAAACACUGUAUCUUUCUGUACCAGCUCCAGUCCUAUCUCCUCCUUUCCAGAUUAUCCAGUUAAUAAACAGUAAGUUCCAAGAAGUCAAAAAACCCACCCAAAACCAGAGGUAACUCCUCCUGUCAGGAAGUAAAGAUGGAGCCGCAGCUGCAAUUUCCUGAUAACACCCCUUGCAAACCCGGAGAGGGUUGUGUGAGUGGAAAAAUGACAGCAAUUAGGCAGCUCAAGCCUCUGGAUUUUCGUUUAAAGCAGGACCCGGCUGUGCCUAGUGUGCAGGCAGUGUCCCAAAGGCCACCUCUGCCAGCUGUCACAGCACAGGGGCCCAGCUGGACCUGGGGGACCGCAGUCCCUUCUGCAGGGCCACCCUGUGCCUCUGUCCUUUGCACAGCAAGCACAGCACACUGCACUUUGUUAUUGCUAGUCUAUGGUUUCACUGACUUUUUCUCAGAUGUCACCCACAAGAUAGCAAGAGAUGGUGAACUGCUGGAUCUUGAGUUUCAUCUCACCCAACUCCCAAAGAGAAUUUCCUUCAUCACUGUCAAUAGUGGAACUGAAAAACUGCCCGCAACUGUGUUGACAAAAAAAACAGUUAUGCUUUAAUGACACAGUUUCAACUGAUUUCACUAGAAGCUAAUAUGAGCAGAGAAUUAUUUAUUAUAUGUACCCUUGAACAGCAAAUCCACAGAGUAUAUUAAAAUUCCUGUAAUAGCAAAUUUAUCUCACUGCACAAAAAAAAAUUUAACUUUUCUAAUGAAGCACGAUAUUGGGUGGUAUUGACAUUAUUAUAUAUUUUCAUCUUUUUAUGGAGAGCAGAAAAAUGUAUUUUCCUAUUCUGCCUACAGAACACUUGAAAAUAACUAAAUAUUUUAUGCUAAGGCACCAACCUAUGGCAAUAUUAGAGCAGAAACAGGGAGUUUUAAACAUAUUUGGGAGAUGGGGACUUCAUUUCUGUUCUGUGUGAUGAUUCUGCAUCUCCCAGUCCUGAUGUACGUGUUUAACACUCGGGUAUUAAAAGGUUGGAAAGAACAAAUAAUAAAUUAAAGGUGCUGUACCUGAUUUUGAAAUAUUUUUUAGGCUGUAAAUAAUUAUUGCCAACCUUUAGCAUCAGGAAUACAGAAAAAUUUGCACUGAGAAAAGGCAUGGGAACAAAGAAAAUAGAAGAGUAAAGCAAAGUUUCUAGACUUCAGGCCACUUGCCAGCUACUUCUCACAUCAACUUUCAGUUCUGCUGCUUGCUUUGACUGUAGCAAAAAGAUAAACAUUUUCUUGUUGCAAGUUAACAAACACUGCCAUGCGUGACAAGUUGAUAAGGGGUAUUACGGGUUGUAUCAGGAGUUUAUUAGUUCAUUUGAGCAAGAGAUAAACAUGGUAGAAAGUUCUGAUGUGCUGCUGAAAAAUUAAAAAUAACUAGUCAAUGCCAAAAACAGUUCAGCUGAAAAAAAGGUUUCUAUUCUUAGUGACUAGAGCUUACAUUGCUAUAGACAAUUUUUCCUUCUGUUUGUAGUAAAUUCCUCAAUGUGUCUGCCUCCUUUGCAAACUUACACCACUGCUGAGUCUGUAUUUUCAGGUGGUACAGAUAUAGCAGUCUGAAUUCUACACUCAGAAGGAACUCAAAGUCAUGGCACAACAGGCAGAAUUUGGUUUAGUGAUUUAGUCACUUCUGCUUGGCGUCUUUUGACAUUAACUACAGAUGUUGAGAUCCUGUCUCUCUGUUUUUGUCUGUUGUAGUUAUUGAAAACUAAAUACAGUGCAUUUAAGUAUCCUUUGAUUUAGCAUUUGCCUAAUUAAAUUCUUGCCUGAUUAUUUUUCUACAUGCCUUACAACAAACUGAUAGCGUUUGACUCUUGAUAUUUUCACCAAAUUUUUAUUUGAACUAAGAUCUGCCAAAACAAAUAUUAAAAAUCCUGCCAUAUGUCCCAAAUGUCACUUUUAGUUUUCUUUUUGUAAGGCAAUGCAGUAUAAUAUAAACAAGGACAAACAAAGAGAUAACACAGUGAUGUAGGAUCAGAGUUUUCUGGCAAAACCUGGAUGUGUGUAUAUUAACCACAGAUAAUAAAAACAUAAGUAAAAAGGUUUUCCUAGAUCGCAGGAAGAGACCUAUAUCCUGCACUGAAAUUACUUUUUGUAUCUUUUAUUUUAUUUAAAACUUAUUUUUGAAAAUUUUGGGUUUUUUUUUUCCCUUACUAAAGUAAGUACUUUAAAGUAAGUACUAUUCUAUAGUCCCUUUCCCCCACUAAGACAGACUUUAAGGCACCGUUGAUAUUUGUGGUAUGCCAGUUUUUAUGGCUCUAGAGAAAUAAUAAUAACACAUUUAGGAGAAAAUUCUGACAUUUUGUCUGGCAAAUGUUGUUACACUUUGUCAAAGGCACAAGAACUUAUUUUAAUAUCCUGUCUCACAAUAUGGGGUAAAAAGGACAAGAAAAUUAGAAGAUCAAAUGUACACUUUAGCAAGAUGUGAUCAGUGACCAGUCAGGUAAUAUUUUCAGUUAUUUGCAAGACUUAAAUGAUUCCCAGAUGCCUGAAGUAGGGCAAGGGUAAGGACUAGCAACUUCUGGAUUUGCUGGUUGCUUGGCACUGUGGAAUGUAGGUACCUUUGCCCAUUGUGUAAGAACGGUGUCCUUUGCCUUGGCUUCCCACUGGGAGCUCACUACUGAAUACACUGACAGUCUUUCAGGACUUCCUUCCUCCUUCACUGAGGGCACAGUCAUGGGAGGUGCAUGUGCAGGAUGUUUAUGGAAACGAAUAAAAAGUUUUACAGCAACUGAAUGCUCAUGAGAGAGUGUCACAUAUGCAGAUAUUUGGUGAAAGUAAACACACUCCUGUCUGUUUUGAAAGAGAAAGUGCAAGGGCUUUUCUUCCUCUAUUCUUAGACAUUGAAUUGCAUUCUGCUACAAGGCAGAAAUUAUUUAUGUGCAGAUGCUUGGCUUCCUUGAAAAUAUAAAGUUUUCUUGGUAGCUUAUUUAUCCAUCAUAUUAAUAUUAGUCAACUAGGGGUUACUAUUUUUGAAAUUUAACUACUCUGAGGCUAAUAGCACAGAAGUAUUGCUAUUGGCAUGUUAGAUAUUUUCAAUUUACUAAACAAGUUCAAUAUUUUAAUAAAUUAUUUAUCAUUCAGUUACUUAUGAAGUUCACAAAUUUAGUUGCUUAUUCUGGCUUCUUAUGAUUCUCCAGUCUAGAAUAUUAAAACUUUAGACAACAGACCAGACAGUGACAUGUACAUGUAAAUUCAGGUGUGGGAUAUGGCCUUCAUAAAACAGGACACUAAAAUUUGAGGUCUUUUGAUACAGGAGACCAUUCCACUAUUAAGCAACUGGUGCUAAAAGCAGUUCUAAGAUUCAGAACGUGAGAAGUCUUGGAAGAUGGUCUAUAAGAUGUACGUUUCAAUUUAAGUCUUUUGUGAAGUUAAAAGCUUCUUGCAGUGCAAUGAAAUUCCUCCAAAGUGUGUGGUAUUUAGCAGCAGCAGACCUUUGUGUUGUGACAAUCAGCAGAUCUCUGUUUUGUCAAAGUCUAUAUUGUGAUAAUCACCAAGUAACACAUCUUACAAAAUUACUGUACCUUGACUGUGGCAUGAAGCAAGCAAGCAAGGAUACCAAUGGAUCCUUAUGGGAAUUUAUGCAGGCCUGUGCCAUAAAUAGCAACCUGUGGGAAUGCAGGAACAAGAAGAAAUGUCCCAGAGGAGCUGACUGGCUGCCUACAGGAGCACCACACUGCUUAAAGAAUCAACUGUCCUCCAACUUCACACCAACUCAGCUGAGGGUAUUUCCUAAUAGGUCACAUAUGGAAAGCACAGAAAACAGACAGAUAGCAUUUGUAUUCUGAGGUUUAAGAAUAUUUUGCUUGGUCUGUACUGUAAGGAGCUAAUAAAAUGAAGAUAAAAUGGAAGAGAAUAUUAUUUGAUAACAUUUGUCAUAUAUUGAAUCUGCCAGAUUUAAUGUUUAGGGUAGAAUAAAGCUCAUUUAUCAUGAAAGAUCACUUCUCUAGUACUUUAGACUCAUUUUCCUGCCUAAAGCAGAUAUUUCUAUUUUUUUUACUUUUCAAAUUGGGUUCUAUUAGCUUAGGUAUGGUCUCACACUUCAUUGCAAAAUUAAUCUACAAAGGCACUUCAAGGACUCCUUCAUUUAAAACAAUAGGCCAGCAGUAUGUUCUUGUGGUUUUUGGAUUAUUUUUUGAGGAUGCAUAUUGGGAACAGGCCCUGAUUCUGAAACUCCUCAUUUCAGAAUGUGUUGUAGGGAAUUCUGUUUAUUUGGAUGUGGAGAAACUGUUCUGAAGUAAUGGCUCUGAGGUGGUGCAGCAGGAGCACUGCACAGGAAUUCAUCCAUCUGGUGUUUAUCUUUGCUCAGAUAAUGCACCUAAUCUGCUCUUACAUCAUGUAUUCCAGCUGUGAUUAGAAUUACAUAGAGUUCCUUCUGAAUUUUAAAAAUAAUAUAGUAUGAAUUAAGAAACCUCACAGAUUGUUAUGAAACAGACAUAAAUCUUGCAAUAUAUAAAUUGCAAUAAAUAAAUAGCACCUUUGAUGCAAAGGUGCUACUUAGUUGUACUUGUAGCCUUACCUUGUACAAAUAUCAUUUGAUCCUCUACAUUUAAAACUGUACAUUUCCAUAUUGAAAUUGUUUUAGUAAGAGAUGUGUUAGUUAGGCAUUGCUAAACACAUAUUAUGUUCUUGAGUAAUAAUUCAGUCUUUAUUACUGCAGUAAAAGAGCUCCAAGCCACAAGGAUUGGGUAGCAAAGAGGAUCUUCCCGAAUCCAUGCAACCCAAGUACUGUCAGAAUCAUUCUUCUAAGUAUGUGCUGCUUCAGUAUGUGGUUUUUAAUCAUUAAAAAGUGCAGUCUUUUGUAACUUGAAGAUAAGGACUUUAAUGAGAAUUUUUGUGAAUGUAUUACUUUCCUGUUAUAAUACUUGGAACGCUUUGUUAAUCCUAUGUGCCCUAAAUCAGGACAUCCUAGUAAAGCAGUAAAUGGAAUGUAAAGAUGAAUGGAACUGAAAGAACGUCCUCUUCUAUGGAAAGAAAAUACUACAGAGCUGAAUGAUUUACAGCCAUAUGGAUUGUUAGCCAAGAUCUAAAUGUAAGUGAUUAAAAUAAUGAGCAAACAUUUCAGAAUGCAGGUAAUGUAUUGUACUUGGUUCUAUCUCACAGCAACAAAUUAUCACUUAAGGACCAAGACCUAACCAGUACCUAUUUAGUUAUAUAUAGCUAUAUAUACACAUUUCUGGUUUCCUUUAGUAGAUGCAAAGGAAAUACUACCCCUCUUCCAUAAAACCCACAUUUUAAUGUUUUUAGGGUGACUUAAAAGCUUAACGCCCCUAAAGACUGUGUCUGAUUUUGUAGGUAAGUUCAGAUUCAGAGUUGAAUCUUUCAAAACUCAGCAAAUUCCUCUUUGAGUCUUACCUACCUUAGAUGCUUAUAAUGUGAGAGGAUAAAUAACUAUUUGACAGUACCAUUACUCUUCACUGAUAAACAGUCCUCUUGUUUAUCAUGAUCCCUAGAUUUUAGACACUCAUAGUAAGGAAGGAUUAUUUAUCCUUAAAGUCACUACGUUCCUUAGAGGAUUAAAAAAUGAAAAGUCAGCACAUCAUUUUUCUUACAUACAAGAUCAGAAGAAAUCCUGAAAAAAGGGAGUAUUCUAAUAUUGUCUCAUUGUGGCUGCUUAUUCUAUUUAUGACACCACUUUAUAAGCUGGACAAAUCUAUUCCUGCAACCUACAGAUACUCUGAAUGACAAAAUAAAAUUGAACAUGAAUAUAGAAAACAUCAUGCAUUUAUCAUGCAGAAAUAAUUUCCACUUAUAAACACAUUCUAAAUUGAACUAGACAAGGCUAAUAUCACAUAAAAAAUAAAGCAACUAGACAUUUAACUCACAGGAAGUAAUAUGAUCAAAGAUAAAGUCUAAAUGACAAAACAGUCAGUUAUUGUCUCGGUAAAAUUGUCACUAAGAUUUUUGUGUCAUUAUUAUCAUAUUUAUAAAACAUUCACAGUAUAAAAGUAUACAUUAAACACUGUGUUGUAAAAAUCCCUGUGGUAUUAGUCAAAAAACCCAGCAGAAACAGGAGUCUCUAUUACUUGACAUCUCUAAAAGGCUUUGAAAUCAGAAACUGAUCUGCACAACCAUAAGUUUAGCAUGCCUUUAAGUAAGUAGACUCAAAAGACCGUUUUGCUUCUAAUGAAAUACAACAAAAUAUUCUUUUGACAGAAAAUUCUGUUCUGAGUCCCUAUUUCUAUAUUUCAACCUAAAAAUCACUUUUAUAAAUUACAAGUGUCACAUAGAUCAGCGUGAAUUAAAAAAGAAAUCUCAAUUUAUGAAAAGAGUCUUGAUUUGAAUAAGCUGUUUUGCUUUUAAAUCAACUGGAAACCCAAACCAAAUUCCCUUUAACACCUUCAGUGUGUCUAAACUGAUUUUGGUUUCAUUUCAACAAAGCAAAUAGUACUGGUGAUAGGCAAUGACAUGGAACUCAAGAGAUUUUGGUCGUGAUUCUUGCAGAAUCUGGAGAAUUAGUAAGUCUGAAGUAUGUGAAACCAGUACAACAGUGAAGGAUUUAUCCAGGCUAACAGUUUCAUGCCUAAUUAUAUACCAAACUGAAAAGUUUUUCUAUAUUCAUAAAACUAAAAUCCCAAUUCGUACAACCGUGCUGAACAGGAAGAGUUCCUCUCUUAUUAAAUGCAGAGUGAUUAAAUAUUGGAGACUAAAUGCUGGUUGAUAAAAAUGGCUGGUGCCUGUCCCAGAGGAGGCUCUCUCUGGAACACAGACUGAUAGCUGGAUUAACACGCUGAAUAAAUAAGGAUGAUGACCUUCUAGAUAUUACUACUGGCAAUUUUUUUGUACUCAUUCCUCUGGAAUACUCCUAUUGUUUUAGGAGGAAAGGACACAACAAAUCAACCAUAAAUCCUAUGCUUAAUUCCACAUUUAAACUGGCUCCUCUGCUGCAGCAGGAAUUGCCACUGUAAUGAGAAAUUGUGUGUGUGAGGGCAGCAUCCCACGGCUGUGUAUCUGUACUUUAUACCAAACACUGCCUGGGCUGGGGUGUGACCACAGGCAAGAAGGAGAUUGCUUGACUUUCUUAUAAAAAGGCAUGUUGCCUGAUAACUGGAAAAUUAUUUUUUCAUUAUUUCAGUAGCUGGACUAAAUAAAAAGCUGUUGUGAUGUAAUCCCAGAGAUGCAUCUCAGGUACUUGCUUUGAGCUGCAGAGCACUGUCAAAUGACUAGGAUAAUCCAGAAAUCAUCUAGGAAAACUCCAUUUUGUCCUUAAAACUUAGGUUCAGAAGUACUGCUUGUGAUUUAUUAUGGUGUCAUUUCACACUUUGCACAAGUAACUGAUUCCAUGUUUCAAUUAUACAAAUAUACAUUUUUGCUCAAUAUUUAUACUCUUCAUACAUACCCUUUAUUAAUAUAACUCUUACUCCCUAUCUUAGAAUGGUUUUAUACCUGUAGCAUAAAUUUUAUCCAUAAGCAAAUGAUAGAAUGAAUAAUGUAAAAAGCACAUUUUCAGUUCAGCCACCUUAAACAAUCACCUACAUGAAUCACUGGGGUUACUGACAGAGAACAAUGUAAUACAGUUUGCUGUAAGGUCUUUAAAUUCUUGGAUUGAAGUUUUCUGGCAAAACGUUCCCUAGCUUGAAUUAACUGUGAUAACCACUUAUUCACCAAAACAAAGAAGUAUACAUUAUACAUACACAAUUCCAUCAGAAUUCCUCAAGUCUUUACCAGCAUGGACAAAUUGUAAUGGAAAAACUUUAAAGGAUUUAGUGGAAAAGGCAGGCUCCAUUGUUAGCCUAAGAGUCUGUACUAAAAUUAAAUAGUUUAGUUAAAAUACAUAGGACAAGCCUUCAUAGUGCCCUCUGCACUCAGCUUGACUGCAGCCAAUACUGUUAAUCCUCUAAUGUCAUAAAUACUGUAGGAAAGACAUGCUAAUAAAAAAGACAGCACUGACACCAUUUAUCAUGUAUAGAAAUAUAUAAAUACUGCGAAAUCUCUCACUUUUACAAGAAAAUCAGCUUUACAACAGUUUUCUGAGAGAACUGACUAUAAUUUCACUGCAAAAAAUAUUUAUACUCUGAAAAUAAAAAUAUUUUUAAAUAACACAUGGCUUGAGUUAUCAUUGUUAUAUCUAUGUCAGAUUUUAAUGAAAGACUUAUGGAUGUGUUAUUAGUGUUCCUGCUAUCUGUUGUGUUUUUGGGAAGGUUUGAUUUAGUAUUGAAAUAUGCUCCAUUUGAAAAAUGCAUUUCAGCCUAAUUGUCAGAGCUUUGUAAACCUGGAUUGGUUUGAUAUCUAAAAUGCCUUAUAGCAGGGAAAAAUGGGGAUCUCCUAAUUAAGGCAAAUUACAAUGAGAUUAUUCAAAUCAACUACCGUUAACAAAAAUGCCCAAGUUACUUAUAGUUAGAAAAGGUUUAGAAAAUAGCUGUUCUCUGAUACAAGCCUGCUCCAGAGCUCUCUGUAGGGAACCCCACUCUGUUUGUGGAAUUUAAGGGAACUGGUGGAAUUUACAAUCUAUACAUCACAUUCCUAAAAUGUUGAUAAAGACUGAGUUUCAGUUACUUAUAUCAAAUUUUUAAAGGUUGUCAAAAUAAAUUCUGCAAAGCAAAACUCCGCAAAAUGCAGCAUUGGUUUUACAAUAAUCUCUAUUUUCCAGGUAUUUGUAAAAUUGCUCAGCACAUUUCCAAUUAUGAAAAAAUCCUUUAUAAUUUUGAGUUACGGAUAGUGGCAAUACUCAUAAAGAAGCAGACAAUAAGUAUAGUGGUGGUUUUGGCUCCAAAAUCUAAAUCCUAAACCUGUAUAACACUGUAGAAGUAGUUUUUAUUUAUGAUAUAUAAAUGUGUUAUUCUUCCCUGUGCAAAGUGUGCUUUUGCAAGAAGUCCUGUAAUCUUCAUUGAACAUAAUUCAGUGAUGGAACUCCAUAGAGGAACAGGACUGCUUGGAUACAAUGCCAUGCAGAACUGAGGAAUUUUUAUUCUUUUUAUUCAACAGAAAAUAAAUAAAGUACAUUUUGCUAUUGUUUUACAUUGCUUUUGGGAAAAUUAAAAUAUAUAAAUUUUGUCAUAAUCCUCAUUUUGCUUAUUCUUUUCUUAUGGGAAAAAUAUUCUAUUAUUUUAUUUGUUUAAAUAAAAAGUUAUUUAAAGCUGUGUUGAAAAGUGAGGUAAUUCGUGUCCAUACAAUGUCAGGAUUAUGUAUAUUCUGUAUAUUUAGAUAUUCACAAUUAAUAUAACUUUGGAAUAAAACAUGAAUGAAAUACUUUUUCUAAUACAAACUGUACAGAUUUUUGAAAGAUUAUAAAACCUUCAAGGGGGCACUUUUGUCUGGGGCAGACACCUUCUUGCACAUACAUUGAUUAUAGGAAUGGAUGCUAGUAAUUAAAAUAUCUCCAGCUAAUAGUACCAAAGAUACAAUUUAUAAUAGUAAUGGAAUUUGUUGUAUGUACUGCUAUGGAUUAUAUUUUUCAUUGUAUGACUUUUUUAUUUCAACCACAAUUCAACAGGAUGGCAAAGGAAGGUGUGAAUACAUGUAAAUGUGAGAUGUUGUGACUAAGCACAGGAGUGUAAUGAUGGGAAAUCUUUCCUACAAAUCAACUCUUUGCAUGAAGCUUUGAAUAUAUUUCCGCCACAGAGCUCAAACCAACCCCCUGAUGUAAUAUUAAAGUGAGUGGCCUCUCUGUGUAUGUCUCUUACAUCAUUGUUCCUUAUAACUGCUUUGUAUGAUACAAGACUGUACAGAAAAGAGUUUGCUGUGACCCCACUUCUGCAGUUCCCAAAAAAGCUACCACUGAAAUUCUCAAAUGCCUGCCAGAAAUUUCAGUAUUGGGAAGGGUAAGAAAUUUAUCAGCAUGGUUUUUAAAGAAGCCAAGAGCAUCUUCAGUUACUUACAGUGAUUACAUUUUUGCCUGCUGAUAUUCAUCUAUUCUUAAAAAGAAAUGAAGGCAAUAUGUGUUUUACUUUCAUCAUGCUUGUGACUGCAGAUUCCAGUUUAAAAAGUGAUGAUAGUUACAGCUUUUGUACUUUCAUUUUCCCCUUCAAUUUGUCAAAUGCAGUGAGAUGGAGCACUAAAAAAAAGGAGAGAAGAAUAGAGGUGGUGAGGCAUCUAAAUAUAACCAAGAUUGUUUAUGUCAAUGAGCUCUGCAAAAGGAUAGUGUAUUUAUGUGAUUGUCUUAGGGAGUUGGUUUGCAAUGCUCACUUAUACUGUGCAUCCCUUAUUGUUCAUAUUUCAAAGGGCUUUUUUUUUUUCCAAGGCUCUAAGCAUACAGAUCAAUAGUUAAAUUAUUAACUCAGUUGUGGAAAUUGAAGUAUUGAAGCUGACUGACUCUUCCAAGUCAAUAUUUACUACUAGAAGGAUUAGAUUUCAUGUCAUCCCUCCAAAUCUUACAUCCAGAAUUGUCCACCUACCACACUGUGACAAAUGUUGGUGUGUUUGGGUUUAAGCACUUAGUACCCAGGGAAGAACAAUCAGACAAAUGACUACAAAUUUCUUAAGGAUAACUCAGAUGUUGAACAUAAAACCCCCUCACAUUUCAUGUUACAAUUCUCCUCACUACCAUUUCUCAGGAAUGUUCUGAUUCAUCCCUGUGGAACACUAUAUGCUGCAGUUUAACUUUGUAUCUCUACAUGGUACCAGCAACGUGCCAAAACAACAAUUUCCCUACAGCCUGCGUAUUGCUCACUCCUAAACUAAACCAUCCUGUCUGCUCCCAUCCCUGCUGUCUGUCACAAUUAUGACUUUUUGUAAGAUAAGAAAAUCCCAUUUUUACCACUGGAAAGCCAGGCUGCUUAGGUCACAAGAUUCUCUUGGCUUAAUCCUUGCGAAUGAAUCAUGAACUUUCCCUAAUAAGUACCGGCAUUCUUCAGAUGAUCAAGCUAGCUUAUGAAGGCUUCCAGAGCUUUCCACAUUAAUUAUCACCAUGUUUAAAGGAUCCAAAGCAGCAGCUAAUUAAGAAUUAUUAAGACUAUAAAUUGUUUAUUCUUACUUUUUCUUUCUGUCCUCUAUUCCUCACUCUUAUGUGGGUUGAUAUUGUAAAUGGCAAUAAUACAAUUCAGUUAAAAGAAAACAACAUCUGAUAAGGAUUAUGAAAAAUAUAAAUUGAACUGAAAUUAAUGAUGUGACAAAUUGGUUGCUUUCUACACUAGAACAGGUCAAAAGUAAGCUACACAUGACCACAAUUUCAGUUCAGAAAAUUCACACUAAUUAUCAGAAAAUUGUAAGAUAACCAGACUAAUAGUAAGCCCCUACGCUGCAAAUAAAUGACUUACAGCUUCUGCAAAAGUUGCAGAAGCACACACACUAUUGAGAAGUCAUAGUAAAUACCAUGUUAUUAAAUAAGUAUUUUGUUAGAAAUAAAUAAGAUGAAGACUUUCAAAAGAAAAAAUAAACUAUUUCUUAACAUUUGAAAGUGGAAACAGAAUAUUCACUCUAGAUUCAGAGUACAGAGAAUUGUUGAAAUCAGUCUGGACUUCUAAGUACUUUCAAUCUGGUAAUGUGACAAUCCUGGGCACCUCAUGAAAAAAAUUAUAUUCUUGCACCAAAUUCAGAUACUAAGUCUAGUAAAAGUAGAACAAUUAAAAGCCUAGUCAGUUUAGCUACCAAAAAGAUGUAUUUUUUUUAUCUUUUACCAGGAUGAGCAUAUCUAAAUAAAGACUGGGUAAAUUCCUCAAACACUGUUUUAAGUGUAGCACAGCAUGACAGGAAAAAAGUGUAUUUUAUAUUUGGAAAAAAAAAAAAAAAGGAGAUUUGUACUUAGCUGGUAGUUAAUUAACAACAUGUAUAGGUGAAUCAAUUAUAUAUGUAUGAAUAACAGGAUACACCCAAGUCAUAGUCAUAAAUCCUUUGGGAACUUCUGUGAAGACAGUAAAUAUUUUUACAAUAGCAGUGAUUAAACCUGAAAAUGAAAGGAGAAAGCCCUGAAAGGAAAUCAGAAAUGAGUCAAAAUCAUUAGUGGUUACUCUCAUAUUUAUCAUCCAAAGUGAGUCAAAAUCAGCAGGCGUUACUCUCAUAUUUAUCAUUAUAUAAACUGUGUAAGAAUGCAGUCAAGAGGAAAAGAAGAAAUAAGAUGAAAAGAACAAAUCCAUCUUUAAUAUUCUUUCCAAAGAAAGAACACUUGAGAGGAGUACUGAAAUUUGAGAAUAGUACUACUAAAAGUAGCAUUAAAUAGAAAAUUCUUCUUUAAGCACUCAAAUGAGUUCUGAAAAAGAACUAAAACCAGUGGAAUAACAUUCCAGUUUGUUUUCCAGACAAAUCCUUUGAAAUCAAAUUCAGAUACUGUACGUAGAUAUUUACAAAUUUUUAAAAUGCACAAAAAUAUCAUAAAGGUUCCGUACAGCCCUUUUUUGAAGCAUAAUUCAGUGAUAUACUUGACCAAGUGACUAGCUAAACAUGAGUCUUGCUUCCAAGGACUUGCAUAAUUUAGCACCCAGGUUCAGGAAAUGACUCUAAGUAAUACCAGCCUGAUUCAAUAAACUAUUUGAAGACACAGGGUACUGGGCAUUGAAUUUAAUGUUUGCUAUGUCUAUAAUAGAAUAAACAGAAUCUUACUCCAGAAUGAAGGUGUCUCUGCAGAAAAAGAAACAUUUUCUAGUAACUGUUUUUCUGACAGAAUACAGUAUACAGAAAUCAGGCAGAAAAUAUAACAUCUCUGGGUAGAGAUCUAUGCCAUCCCUGUCUUAAAAAAACAUUAUUUGUUACGGAUAAGCUCAAGCCACUUAAGUAAGAGCUACACAGAGAUAAUCAACACUUCUGGUAAAAAACGUUCCUGUAUUUUUUCAGAUUUAGUGAAAAACACUGCAAAGCUUUAUAAACACUUCAUAGCAUCGUGCAAAAAUCUAAAUUAAAAUUUUACACUUCCACUUUGCUGAGUGUUUAGAGGUGAAGUUUAAAGUUCUCCAGAAGCUGUAUUAUUUGAUUGUUAAUUCUUUUUGUCCUGUUUCUCACUACCUCUGAAAAUAUUUUAGGUUUUCUUUUAUGGAAGGGUAAAAAAUGUGCAGAAACUGUUUCACAAUUCAUAUUAAAAAAAAAAACCCAACUCUAAAGCCAUGCUUUCAACAAAACACAGCAUAACAUCUUAAUCUAAUAAAGUACUGCCCUACUUUCUGAUUUGCAGACCUCAAAACAGGAAUUUAAAUAUUUUACUUUGGCACUAGGGCAAUUAUUUCCUAAAAAAAAAAAAAAAUUGAAAAAAAUUACCUUUCUUGGUACUCCUUCCAGUCCUAGAAACUGCAGAACCAGAAACUGUUUGGAGAUGUGACAAUGUACAUGAUGCAGAUCAGUAACAGGAGCCACAUUCAAUUACUGUUCUACAAUGGCAUUAAGUAAUUGGAAAGGACAACAGAAAAGAAACCUUUCCAAUGCUGGUUUUUCCUUUGGAUGAAAUGAGCUUGUGUAGAUUAUAAGGCCAGAGUACAGGCAUCCUAAGAAGAAUCUGUUUCUAUCUUCCAUAUACUGUACAAAUAGAAAAAUAAUGAUGUAUCUAAGCAAAGAUACUUUUUAUAUAUGAAGACCAAAUUAUUAAUAAAACUAUUUUGAGAUAGCUUUAAAAGCAACAAUGAAAAAAAAUAAAGGUAAGCAUAUAGGAAAAUGUGAGAUGGUUUUGAAUGCUAGACAGGUAUACAAAUUAUUUCCUAAAACUUCUAUCAGUUACUAUAACUGUGUCAUUCUUUGUGGCUCAUCUUUACCCAGAGUGCUCCAUCAUUGAUCCAGCGCAGAUUGUUGAUUAAUUCUUCACAUUCUCUGUGUAUGCCUAUAUUAAAGUAUUGAAAAGUAAAGCUAUUCAGGGCUUACACCAUCUUUCUUUUCAGUCAGUAGUUGCUUCUCUUAUUUGUUUUGUUUAAUCUCUCAAAAGGACAAGGGAAGGAUAACAAUAGAUUUUCUCUCAAAGAGUACUGCUCAUAAGAUAUGAUCUCUACUUCCAAGUAUUAAAUUCAACUUCAUAUAUGCAGUGAUCAAUAGAUAUGAACUUCAUGGGGCAGUAGGGUAGUAAGGCUACAUCAAUUAAACUCAACAAUAAGUCACAAGGACUGCUGGUGGCUGUUCUCUCUGCCCUAUAGGUUUUCUCUUGCUUGAUUUACCAGUAGAUUUACAUUAUAAACUUGAUUUUUUUCUUAGGCAUGUAAUAUAUUUUAAUAUAAAAGUUCAGCAAUGGCAACUGCAUCAGUUUAACAUUCAGCACUUAUCUCUUCUUCAUGAUCUUCAUUUAUCUACCUUAUUUUUUAUCAGAUAAUGCAUAUGUAUAUGCAUAGGAUUCUUACCACGUUACCUUACUGCUUAUGAUUUAAAAGCAAAUGAGUUAAUUUUUUCUUCAUAACAAAGAAUGCAGCAUGUUAUUUUUAUGUACCACUAGAAGAAAACUGAUAAAGAAGAAAUAAAGCAAGGAACAGAAAAACAAAGUGAGAAAUUAAAUCCAAGUUUCUAAUGCAGCAAUGUAAUGCCAAGAAACUGCUCCAGAGAAAAUUAGUAACUGCCAGCUUUUCUACCUGUUGCCAAGAAAAUGUUGCUGUGUUCACUGAUCCUGUAAUUAAGCUGAGUAUGUUCUGAAACAACUUCUUCUGAAUUGUGCCAUCUUCUGUGAAGGGGGAGGGAGCUUCAUUCUUAUAAUACACCAAUAGAAAGGUGGUUCUUCUCUAAAAAUUAGGUAGAAGAGCAAGCUUGGUUUAAACUUGUACACACAUUCUUUGAAGAGAAUAAAUAACAUUUGGAAAGAGAAAUCAUACUGUGUACAGACCUUUGGCGGGAAGCACAGGACUGUAAUCUGCAUCAUUCAAAAUACUCACAAGCAGGGCAAAAACUUUUAUUAGUUAUCCUUUAAUAUCCUGUAAAAACAGCAGUCUUGCUGACUUCUGCUGUUUUAUCUAUAUUUUAAAAUGUGAGUUAUUAAUUGUCAUGUCUUGUAGCAGUUUCUUGCUAGGAUUUUAAUGUUUAAGUUACUGCAAUUACCCAUGCCAUUCAAGGUAUUUGUAUACAAGUAUGUCAAUAAGCCAGAUCAUACCAGUAUA